Molecule: ribosomal RNA, 253 nt
Filed under: uncultured bacterium
Lineage: Bacteria
Description: partial 16S ribosomal RNA
Rfam family: Bacterial small subunit ribosomal RNA
Source: RNAcentral
UACGUAGGGCGCAAGCGUUGUCCGGAAUUAUUGGGCGUAAAGAGCUCGUAGGCGGUCUGUUGCGUCGGCUGUGAAAACUCGGGGCUCAACCCCGAGCCUGCAGCCGAUACGGGCAGACUAGAGUUCGGCAGGGGAGACUGGAAUUCCUGGUGUAGCGGUGAAAUGCGCAGAUAUCAGGAGGAACACCGGUGGCGAAGGCGGGUCUCUGGGCCGAUACUGACGCUGAGGAGCGAAAGCGUGGGGAGCAAACAGG